RNAcentral lists this ribosomal RNA (465 nucleotides) under Vreelandella stevensii. RNAcentral's name for it is "partial 16S ribosomal RNA". It matches the Rfam family "Bacterial small subunit ribosomal RNA", at positions 338 to 795 of the family's 1533-position model. The record is from RNAcentral. Lineage: Bacteria; Pseudomonadati; Pseudomonadota; Gammaproteobacteria; Oceanospirillales; Halomonadaceae.
CCUACGGGGGGCUGCAGUGGGGAAUAUUGGACAAUGGGCGAAAGCCUGAUCCAGCCAUGCCGCGUGUGUGAAGAAGGCCUUCGGGUUGUAAAGCACUUUCAGUGGGGAAGAAAGCCUUGGGGCUAAUACCCUCGAGGAAGGACAUCACCCACAGAAGAAGCACCGGCUAACUCCGUGCCAGCAGCCGCGGUAAUACGGAGGGUGCGAGCGUUAAUCGGAAUUACUGGGCGUAAAGCGCGCGUAGGCGGUCUGAUAAGCCGGUUGUGAAAGCCCCGGGCUCAACCUGGGAACGGCAUCCGGAACUGUCAGGCUAGAGGGCAGGAGAGGAAGGUAGAAUUCCCGGUGUAGCGGUGAAAUGCGUAGAGAUCGGGAGGAAUACCAGUGGCGAAGGCGGCCUUCUGGACUGACACUGACGCUGAGGUGCGAAAGCGUGGGUAGCAAACAGGAUUAGAUACCCCAGUAGUC